This 107-nucleotide small nucleolar RNA is filed under the name Theobroma cacao (cacao). RNAcentral's name for it is "Plant small nucleolar RNA R71". It matches the Rfam family "Plant small nucleolar RNA R71". Rfam says of the family: R71 is a member of the C/D box family of snoRNAs containing the C (UGAUGA) and D (CUGA) box motifs. Multiple nearly identical copies of this snoRNA have been identified in Arabidopsis, and it is thought to function as a 2'-O-ribose methylation guide for 18S ribosomal RNA. The record is from Rfam by way of RNAcentral. Lineage: Eukaryota; Viridiplantae; Streptophyta; Magnoliopsida; Malvales; Malvaceae.
AAACCAUGAAGAGGACAACACCAAAGAAAUUCUUUGUUUCUUUCCCAAGCUUAGUACAACGAUUUAGAAUCUUGUUGCAUGAAUGAUGUAAUAUCAUUCCUCAUUUU